GUCAUUGUCAUUGGUGGUGGUGAUGGUGAGGUCAGGGCUGUGAUGUCGUUGUUGGUGGUGGUGAUGGUGAGGUCAGGGCUGUAGUGUUGUCAUUGGUGGUGGUGAUGGUGAGGUCGGGGCUGUGAUGUCGUUGUCGGUGGUGGUGGUGAUGGUGAGGUCACUGUAGGAAAGCCCAGCAGAAUGGCCCUGAAGCGUGGGCUCCGUCCCCGAUAUGCCUUCCCAUGAUCUCUUUUC
This 234-nucleotide long non-coding RNA is filed under the name Homo sapiens (human). Its description in RNAcentral is "non-protein coding lnc-TMEM18-6:3". The record is from RNAcentral. Lineage: Eukaryota; Metazoa; Chordata; Mammalia; Primates; Hominidae.